AUACGUAGGUGACAAGCGUUAUCCGGAUUUACUGGGUGUAAAGGGCGUGUAGGCGGUUUAGCAAGUCAGAAGUGAAAUUCCCGGGCUUAACUUGGGCGCUGCUUCUGAAACUGCUUUACUUGGGUGCUGGAGAGGAUAGUGGAAUUCCUAGUGUAGCGGUAAAAUGCGCAGAUAUUAGGAGGAACACCGGUGGCGAAGGCGGCUAUCUGGACAGUAACUGACGCUGAGGCGCGAAAGCACGGGGAGCAAACAGGAUUAGAUACCCUGGUAGUCCGUGCCGUAAACGAUGAAUACUAGGUGUAGGGGGUAUCGACUCCCUCUGUGCCGCAGUUAACACAUUAAGUAUUCCACCUGGGGAGUACGGCCGCAAGGUUGAAACUCAAAUGAAUUGACGGGG
RNAcentral lists this ribosomal RNA (397 nucleotides) under uncultured bacterium. Its description in RNAcentral is "partial 16S ribosomal RNA". It matches the Rfam family "Bacterial small subunit ribosomal RNA", at positions 523 to 918 of the family's 1533-position model. The record is from RNAcentral.